AUGCAUUAUUUAUACCACUAUUUUCCUAUGUAUUAAUAAUAUAAAGAAUUUCUACACAUACAUUAAUUUAGUUAAUGACAAAAUUACCCCUCAAAUUCCUCCUUUCAUUGUACCCUCGCUGUUUCUCUAUAUGAACCUCUCUUCUGUAUCCUUUGCCAUGGAAAAACAAGAGAUAUUUUCUCCACAUCUUUUGCCUUUCACUUGAUCAAGCAUUAUUUGCUUUUCUCAACUUUCGAUUUAUGCCAAUUCAAAACUGCUAGUUGAACGCUUUGUUCACUGCUCGUCGGAAGUCUGGUUUUGCGGUCUGCAGAUGGGUCAUUUUCUUCCCUUAAUUAUGGUCUAUAUAAAGUAUGGAAGAUGGUAGCAACACUGCAAUACUGAUUCUCUACGACGAAAGAUGAGACGUAUCAGGUAUUAUCUUAAUUGCACAUUCGAUGAAUGUUCGUGGUGUCUAAAAGCUUCAAGUAUGAAUGAAAGAGAGAUUUUCAAGAUUCAAGAAUUUUGCGGUAAACAUUCCUGUACGUUGAAGGACAGUAUCUAUUUAGAACGUCAAGUAACUACCAACGUGAUUGAAAGUAUGUUGAUAGAACGGCUUGCUGAUUCAAAAAUCAUGUACACACCAAGGGAUAUAAUAGUUGAAAUGAAAUUAUCACAUGGUAUUUCCUUGACAUACAUGCAAGCUUGGAAGGGCAAGAAAAAGGCAACCACUAUAUUGCGAGGUGACCCUGCAGAAUCAUAUGGUGAAAUACCACCAUAUUUAUAUAUUUUAGAAACGACGUAUUCAGGUACGACUGUUAGAUUAAAAAAAAUAGGCGAAGAUCUUUUUGUGUAUGUGUUUUUUGCACUAGAUUCUUGUAUAAGAGGAUGAGAGUAUUGUAGACCUAUAGUGGUGAUUGACAGCACAGAUCUGAGAUCAAUUUAUGAGGGUACUAUGCUAACAACAACUACAUUGGAUGCAGGAGGUAUGAUCACUUUUUCUUAAUAUUUUUUUACUAACAAAAUUCACAAAUAUGAAGUGUAAAUUGCUUAUUUGACAUCCUAUAAAUCUGUUAUGACAAGAGUUAAACAUUGCUGUAUGAAAAAAUUUGUAAGGAUGAUCUCAUUAUAAAUUCUGUGAGUAUGAUAUAGAAACUGAAGUACCAAAAUGUUAUUAAAAAUUCAUAGUAUAUAUCAUGAAUUAAUUAUUUUGUUUUAUGAAUUAUAUAAAAUUUCUGUAUGUUUAUAGGUCACAUAUUACCGCUAGCAUAUGCUAUAGUUGAUUCAGAGAAUGAUGCCUUGUGGAGUUGGUUUUUUGAGUAUUUUAGAAUUGCUUAUGGAGAAAGAGAGAAUAUAUGCUUUGUUUCAGAUCGAAAUCAGAGUAUAUGGAAUGUUACUGCCGCGAUGUAUCCUGGGGUUACUCACUAUGCUUGUAUUUAUCAUUUAUUGAAUAAUUUACAAACUAAUACCACAACUUCAGAAGAGGUGAGUAAAUUAUUCUUCAGUAUGGCUAAGGCAUACACAUUUCAAGAGUUUAAAGAAUUAAUGAGCAGGAUGGACCAAAUAAGCAAAAAGGCGCGAAAAUAUUUAUUUAAUGUUAGGUGUCAUAAAUGGUCUCGAGCACAUGCAACCGUUAGAAGGACAUGGACUUUGACUUCUAGCAUUGCAGAAUCUUUUAACAAUACAUUAAAGCAAGCAAGAAAAAUACCGGUGGUUUCAUUGCUGGAGUUUGUUAGGGAAAUUAUUGAAACACGAAAUGAAAAACAUAGUGAAGAAGAAAGAAAUAUUUUCACAGUUCUUACCAAAAAAUACAAUGAUAUGUUGGUGGAAAUUCGACUUUUAUUAAAAUUCAUGACUGUAAGUAUGGAUACAAUUUAAAUGUAAAAAUGUUAAUUUUAAGAAUUAACAGGUGUAGAAAUUUAUUUCUUGUAACGUCUUUAUUAAUGCAGGUAAGAGCAUCCACAGAAUACCUACAUACUAUUACUAAUGGAUCGAAGUGAUUCACAGUGUAUCUUCGAAAUCGAAAGUGUAGUUGUGAAAGAUUUUAACUUGAUGAAUUACCUUGUGGACAUGUUAUAGCGUCUAUUCAGUACAGAAACCAACUUUUAGAGGACUAUUCUUCAGCCUACUACAACAAAAGAAUUUUUCAGGAUACAUAUGCAAUUCUUGUUGAACCACUUCCUUGCAAAAGUAAAUGGGAAAUACCAACACAUGUGUUGGAAGAUAGAAUAUUGCCUCCAGAUGCAAAGAGACAAUCAGGCAGGCCACCAAGUUAUAACAGGAAGAAAGCAUUUAAUGAGUUCAAGUUCAAGAGGUCUAAAGUGACUUGUAGCAAAUGUGGUACAGAGGGUCAUAAUAAGAAAACAUACAGGAACUUUCCGCCAAGAAAAUGAUGUUCACUUGUUGAUAUUAUUCAUUUUGAAUGUCUUUUGGUUUAGUUUAUUUUCAAUGAUUGAUGAUAUCAGAAUACUAGAAAGCUAUUCUAAUAUUUUAUUUUAUUUUAUUUUAUUUUAUUUA
Capsicum annuum is the source of this 2493-nucleotide long non-coding RNA. RefSeq lists it as uncharacterized. The record is from RefSeq and is a predicted model, not a curated record. Lineage: Eukaryota; Viridiplantae; Streptophyta; Magnoliopsida; Solanales; Solanaceae. The transcript is spliced from 5 exons.